UGCGAACGGCUCAUUAGAGCAGCUUUUAUUCUCUUCGGUAGUUAAAAAUGGAUAACUGCGGCAAUUCUGGAGCUAAUACACGCAUAAAAUCCCCAACUAACGAAGGGGUGCGGUUAUUAGAACAGACCAAUCGUCUUCGGACGUGGCUGUUGACUCUGAAUAACGUAGCAUAUCGCCGGUUUACCCGGCGACGACCGAAAGAAGUGUCUGCCCUAUCAACCAGAUGGUAGUCUAUUAGACUACCAUGGUUAUAACGGGUAACGGAGAAUCAGGGUUCGACUCCGGAGAGGGAGCCUUAGAAACGGCUACCACAUCCAAGGAAGGCAGCAGGCGCGUAACUUAUCCACUACUUUUGUGAGAUAGGGACGAAAAAUAAAAAGGCCAAUCCUUUGGAUUGGUUAUUUCAAUGAUUUGAGCCUAAAUAGCUCUUUGAUGACCCAGUGGAGGGCAAGUCUGGUGCCAGCAGCCGCGGUAAUUCCAGCU
Molecule: ribosomal RNA, 483 nt
Filed under: Cephaloboides nidrosiensis
Lineage: Eukaryota; Metazoa; Nematoda; Chromadorea; Rhabditida; Rhabditidae
Description: SSU rRNA
Rfam family: Eukaryotic small subunit ribosomal RNA
Source: RNAcentral